Molecule: long non-coding RNA, 322 nt
Filed under: Eucalyptus grandis
Lineage: Eukaryota; Viridiplantae; Streptophyta; Magnoliopsida; Myrtales; Myrtaceae
Description: long non-coding RNA (EGRA_LNC002697)
Source: RNAcentral
UCUCAGAUGCCAUUGAAUCUUCGACCGGUUGAGCAUCACAUGAGUUAUGAAUUAAAUCAUUAACAUAAAACCGUAAGAACUACACGCCAUACACAAAAUUAGCAUGGUAACCUAUAUGGAUCCGUAUACCCUAUCCUAUUUUGUGAACGGUCCAACUAAAUUAUAAGAUCUCUAAGAUUAAGACAAUGAAAAAAGAAGCCGAGAGGCCAACCUUAGCGUGCGGAUGAUUGUUUCCAAAGUCAGCAAAUUGCGAUUUAUGUGGCAAGGACUGGCAAAUUCCGGACAGAGCAAGGGAAAAAGAAUAUGUCUUCGUGGAUUGGCA